Molecule: unclassified non-coding RNA, 402 nt
Filed under: soil metagenome
Description: partial contains 5.8S ribosomal RNA, internal transcribed spacer 2, and large subunit ribosomal RNA
Rfam family: 5.8S ribosomal RNA (bases 1-121)
Source: RNAcentral
GAUGAAGAACGCAGUGAAAUGCGAUAAGUAAUGUGAAUUGCAGAAUUCAGUGAAUCAUCGAAUCUUUGAACGCACCUUGCACCCUUUGGCUAUUCCGAAGGGUAUGCCUGUUUGAGUAUCAUGAACACCUCAACUCUCAUGGUUUGCCAUGAUGAGCUUGGACUUUGGGGGUCUUGCUGGCCUGUGGUCAGCUCCUCUCAAAUGGAUUAGCUUGCCAGUGUUUGGUGGCAUCACAGGUGUGAUAACUAUCUACGCUUGUGGUUUUCCACCAGGUAACCUUCAGCAAUGGGGGUUCGCUGGGGCUCAUAAAUGUCUCUCCUCAGUGAGGACAGCUCUUUGAACGUUUGAUCUCAAAUCAGGUAGGACUACCCGCUGAACUUAAGCAUAUCAAUAAGCGGAGGA